RNAcentral lists this long non-coding RNA (13093 nucleotides) under Triticum aestivum (bread wheat). Its description in RNAcentral is "long non-coding RNA (TAES_LNC025145)". The record is from RNAcentral. Lineage: Eukaryota; Viridiplantae; Streptophyta; Magnoliopsida; Poales; Poaceae.
UUAGAAGCCUCAACAAAAAGAUAGAGAACAUUUCAAAGGACAAGAUAUUCUUAACAUUCAACACUAGUAUACAGCCUACUAGAAAUGGUCCAACAUCCAAACUGAUAAGAAGCUCCAAUCUUGUUGAGCCCAACCUUGUGGGGAAGGAGAUCAUACAUUCUAGCAGGAAACUGGUGGACUUGGUGCUUGCGCACAAGGAAGACAAGUCUUACAAGCUUGGUAUUGUUGGAACAGGAGGAGUUGGUAAGACAACACUAGCUCAGAAAAUAUAUAAUGACCAAAAAUUAAAAGGAAGCUUCAAGAUGCACGCAUGGAUUUGUGUUUCACGAGACUACAAUGAAGUAACUCUUCUUAAAGAGGUUCUUCGGAAUAUUGGUGUGCAUCAUGAGCAAGGGGAAACCAUAACAGAGCUACAAAGGAAGCUUGCAGAAACAAUAGAAGGGAAGAGUUUCUUUCUGGUUCUAGAUGAUGUGUGGCAUUUCAAUGUAUGGACGGAUUUAUUAAGACCUGUAUUACAAGAAACAACAAUCGGAGUAAUAUUGGUAACCACACGAGAUGAUCAAAUUACAAAGAGAAUAGGUGUACACCAUGCACACCGAGUUGAUCUUGUUAAACACAAUAUGCGUGACAUGAUGGCGUGUUCAGCAAGGAGGAUCUCUACCGAAGGAGGAGUAGUUAGACAGGAUAGAUAUUCAUGUAGUCUUUAUCUUGUUAUCCCUUGUAUUCUUCUUUCCCAAGUUCUAAUCUCUCCAACGACAUGUACGCGUAUCGGGCUCGCAACCCCUCUAUUUAACACGCAGCACGUCGGCCUGGAUCGGCAAGACGUUUACCGCAAUCGCACAUGGUAUACAGAGCUACCUUCUUCCCAAAACCCUAGCUACCCAUCUCCACCAAAGUGCGCAGCAUGUCUUCCUCCACCUCCUCCUCCUUCCAGCCAAACCUCAGCGGCGGAGUCACAGAGAAACUCUCCCGCACCAACUACAUCCUGUGGCGAACUCAGAUCACGCCACAGCUGCGGGGCGCCGGCGUCUAUCACUACGUCGACGGCACGUCGACCGAGCCGGCCAAAACCCACGUCACCAAAGAUGCCGCUGGGAAAGAAACCGAGGGGCCGAAUCCUCUCCAUCCGCUCUGGGUGAAGGAGGAUCAGCAGGUCCUUGGAUAUCUACUCCAACACCUAUCCAAGGAGGUGCUCGUCACGGUGACUGCGAUCACCACGGCGCGCGAACUCUGGGUGGCGCUGGCGAGCAUGUUCUCGUCACAGUCCCUCAGCCGCGUCAACAACAUUCGCACGGCGCUGAUCAACGCGCAGAAGGGCAGCCAAUCGGUGUCCUCCUUCUUCGCCACCAUGAGGGGGCUUGCUGAUGAACUCGCCGCGGCGGGAAAACCAAUCCAAGACGACUAGCUCAUAUCCUACAUCAUCCACGGGCUGGACCAAGACUAUCAGCCCCUCGUCUCCGCCUUGGACGCCCGAGUCACUCCGGUAACCCUUGAUGAGCUUUUCGCUAUGCUUAGCAACUUUGAUCAGCGUAUGGCGCAGUUUCACGGCUCCGGCGGCGGCAGCGGCUUCCGGUCCUCGGCCAACUCUGUCUCCAGAGGUCGCGGUGGCGGCUCUCGCUCUCGUUCCUCCUCUCGUGGCAAGGGGAGGUUCAGUGGCGGUGGUGGCGGCGGCGUCUCCAACAACACCCGCGGCGGCGGGCGCUCUGGCAGCGCAAAAGGGCGCCGUGGUGGCGGCUCCAACAGAUCGCGUCUGGACCUCCCUCGCUGCCAAAUUUGUGGCAAACUUGGUCACACGGCGAGGGACUGUUGGUACCGUUACGAAGAUGAUGAUGGUGAUUCCUCACAAGAUGAAGAAAAAGUUGCUGCUGCCGCCGAUGGUUCCUAUGGGGUCGACACAAAUUGGUAUGUCGACAGUGGAGCCACCAAUCACAUCACCAAUGAGCUUGAGAAGGUCACCAUGAAGGAGAAGUAUCAUGGAAAAGAUCAAAUCCACACGGCCAGUGGUGAAGGUAUGGGCAUACGUCACAUUGGUCAUUCAAUUUUUAAUACCCCCAAACGCAAAAUACAUCUCAAAAGAAUCUUGCAUGUCCCUAGUGCCCACAAAAAUCUUCUCUCUGUUCAUAGAAUUGCUAUUGACAAUCAUGUUUUUCUCGAGUUUCAUCCUUAUUUCUUUUUGAUCAAGGAUCAGGCAACGAAGAAAGUGCUCUAUCGAGGUAGAUGUGUUCGAGGGCUCUACCCGUUGAUUCCGGAGUUUAGAAGAUUCAAUAAACAAGCUUGUGGUGCUAUCAAGCUUUCUUCCACACGAUGGCACGAUCGUUUAGGACAUGCCUCUUUUUCUUUAGUUGAAAAGCUACUUAGGAAAAAUAAACUCCCGUUUAUUGGUGAGCAAAAUACUGAAACUAUUUGUGAUUCAUGUCAGUGUGCUAAAAGUCAUCAAUUACCAUAUCCUAUAUCUACUAGUGUCUCCACUAAACCUUUGCAAUUGAUCUUUUCUGAUGUAUGGGGCCCUGCUCCCUCCUCUGUUGGCAGACACACUUACUAUGUUAGUUUUAUUGAUGACUAUAGCAAGUUCACCUGGAUCUAUCUUCUCAAGAAAAGAUCCGACGUGUUUCAAGUUUUUAAAAACUUCCAAGCACUCGUUGAAAGGAAGUUUGACAGCAAAAUUAUAGCUGUUCAAUCUGAUUGGGGAGGGAAAUACGAGAAACUCAAUUCCUUCUUCCAAAACAUAGGCAUAUCUCACCAUGUAUCAUGCCCACACGCUCAUCAACAAAACGGGUCGGCCGAACGCAAGCAUAGGCAUAUAGUUGAGGUCGGUCUGGCCCUUCUAGCAGGAGCUUCUAUGCCUCUCAAAUUCUGGGAUGAGGCAUUUCUUACAGCUGUUCACAUCAUCAACAUGCUCCCUAGUCGUGUCAUCAAUAGUGAAACACCUAUGGAACGCCUUCUCCAUGUUAAACCAGACUACACAUCUCUCCGUGUCUUUGGCUGUGCUUGUUGGCCAAAUUUCCGUCCGUACAACAAUCGCAAACUCAUGUUUCGAUCAAAGCAAUGUGCUUUUCUUGGCUAUAGUGCUCAGCACAAAGGUGUCAAGUGUCUUGACAUCUCCACCGGACGGGUCUACAUCUCACGAGAUGUUGUGUUUGAUGAGACCAAGUUUCCCUUUGCGGACCUACAUCCCAAUGCCGGUGCUCUCCUACGCAAGGAAAUCUUGCUUCUGCCACCGCAUCUCUCUGGCUAUGAUCAAGGGGGCAUUACUAAUUGUGAUGAUCAUAUGUUGACUAACCCUACUAAUCACUUUUUAUGAGCCUUGUGAUGAUACAGGAAAUAGCGGCGCCAAAAUCCUAGAAAAUGGUGAAGAAAACAGUGCAGCAGCUCCAUAUUUCAUGUGCCCUGACCUAGGCAGCAAAUCCCCCUCGGGAUCUGGGCAGGUGCUGCCGUUGCGCAGCGAAUCUGCCUCGGGAUCAGAACUCUACCGCGGAUCUGCUGCACAGAAUCCGACAGGCGCAGGUGCGGGCCCGUGUGCAGCCGCGACAGCCGCGGGUGGGCGCACCGAUCCACCCACGCCAGCCACGCGGCGGACCCUGGCAGGCCGUGGGGACUCUCCUCGCGCGCACCAAUCGCCAGCGGACAGUUGGCGGGCCGGUGCUGGCCUGGACCGUUCACGGCCUCAGGCCCAACAGCUUGUUUACAAGCGGCGGGCUGUGACUCGCCCGACGAGUGCGGGGACAGAUCCUGCCGAAGUGGGGCCGGGGCAAUCACGAGGAGAUGAUGACGCCGGUCGGCCCAGAUCUUCUGUGGCUGAUUCGCCGCAUGCAUCACAGCUGGUGACCACAGAAGAUCCAGACCCGGCUGCUACUAUCGACAACGCCUGUUCUGGAGCUGCGAUCGGAUCCUCCUCGGGAUCGGUAGAGGAUCAACCUGAUCCGGGUAUGGGAUCUUCUGCGCCAGGGCUCUCUGCAGUGCAUCCUGCUACCACUUCACGUCGCACACGGCUACAACAAGGUCUGAUUAAACCCAUUGAUUAUAAACAUGUUGCAAAAUAUGGGAUGAUCUGUUCAACAGGUGAACCAGGAGAACCCAAUACUCUUGAAGAGGCCCUCGGUGAUGCACAUUGGAGAAAGGCAAUGCAUGAUGAAAUUGUGGCAUUAAGGAAAAAUAAAACAUGGCACCUGGUUCCUCCAAGACAAGGUAAAAAUCUUAUUGACUGCAAGUGGGUCUUUAGGAUAAAAAGAAAAGCUGAUGGAACUAUUGACCGCUACAAAGCCAGACUUGUUGCAAAGGGUUUUAAACAAAGGUAUGGUAUUGACUAUGAGGACACAUUUAGUCCAGUUGUUAAAGCAGCUACCAUACGCCUUGUCCUGUCCAUUGCUGUGUCUAGGGGAUGGAGUCUACGACAGCUAGACAUUCAGAACGCGUUUCUUCAUGGUGUUCUGGAAGAAGAGGUUUACAUGAAACAACCGCCUGGGUUUGUAAAUGCACAGGUACCACUUCAUGUGUGCAAACUUGACAAGGCUUUGUAUGGACUGAAAUAGGCUCCAAGAGCGUGGUAUUCUCGUCUCAGUAAAAAGAUGCAAGCACUUGGUUUUAUUCCUUCAAAGUCUGACACUUCAUUAUUCAUUUAUAACAAGUCAAAAAUAUCCAUAUUUGUUCUCAUUUAUGUUGAUGAUAUAAUUGUGACAAGUUCAUCUGAUGAAGCAAUAACAGCACUGUUGAAGGAUUUAAGUGCAGAAUUUGCUCUCAAGGAUCUAGGAGAUCUACACUACUUUCUUGGCAUUGAGGUUAAGCAGCACAAGGAUGGCCUUCAUCUCUCUCAAGAAAAGUAUGCAACAGACUUAGUGAAAAAGGCUGGUCUACAGAGUUGUAAGCCUGCGCCCACUCCUUUAUCUAGCACAGAAAAAUUAUCUCUUACUGAAGGAGAACUUCUGGACUCAGAAAAUAGUACAAAGUACAGAAGUUUGGUAGGUGCUCUUCAAUACUUGACAUUGACACGGCCAGAUAUCUCAUUUGCUGUCAAUAAAGUAUGUCAAUUCCUUCAUGCACCUACCACAGUUCACUUGACUGCUGCAAAGCGCAUAGUGAGAUAUGUGAAAAAUACAUUAAGCAUUGGUUUGAAUUUUAGCAAGUCAUCUUCCACACUUAUCAGUGCUUUCUCUGACUCAGAUUGGGCAGGAUGCUUAGAUGAUAGACGCGCAACCGGUGGUUUUGCAGUAUUCUUUGGACCUAAUUUGAUAUCUUGGAGUGCAAGGAAGCAAGCCACGGUUUCUAGAUCUAGCACAGAAGUAGAAUACAAAGCAUUGGCCAAUGCAACCGCAGAGAUCAUAUGGGUGCAGUCAAUUUUGAAAGAACUAGGCAUGAAAAACACUAAGGCUCCAUGUCUAUGGUGUGAUAAUCUAGGUGCUACCUAUUUGUCAGCAAAUCCAGUUUUCCAUGCUAGAAGUAAACAUAUUGAGAUAGAUUUUCACUUUGUUCGUGAGAGAGUUGGAAACAAACUCUUAGACAUUCGGUUUAUUCACUCCCAAGACCAAGUUGCAGAUGGGUUUACCAAAGCUCUUCCUACAAAAAGUUUUGAGGCUUUCAAGUAUAAUCUCAACUUGAUGAAGUUGUGAUUAAGGGAGGGUGUUAAACACAAUAUGCGUGACAUGAUGGCGUGUUCAGCAAGGAGGAUCUCUACCGAAGGAGGAGUAGUUAGACAGGAUAGAUAUUCAUGUAGUCUUUAUCUUGUUAUCCCUUGUAUUCUUCUUUCCCAAGUUGUAAUCUCUCCAACGACAUGUACGCGUAUCGGGCUCGCAACCCCUCUAUUUAACACGCAACACGUCGGCCUGGAUCGGCAAGACGUUUAUCGCAAUCGCACAGAUCUCAUGUCAGUAGAGAUGGGAUGGGAGCUGCUUUGGAAGAGCAUGAACAUUGACGAAGAGAAAGAAGUGCAGAAUUUAAGAAACACAGGGAUUGAGAUUGUUCGUAAAUGUGGUCGCCUUCCUCUUGCAAUCAAGGUUACCGCUAGUGCUUUGUCAAGCAGAGAACUAACAGAGAAUGAGUGGAAAAGGUAUUUGGGUAGAUUUAUUGGCUCUCAGAGCAUCCUCUUGGAUGAAAUAGAAGAAGCUUUGUAUCUAAGCUAUGAUGAGUUACCACAUCGUUUGAAGCAGUGUUUCCUUUAUUGUGCUUUGUAUGUUGAAGAUUCUGUCAUUGAACGUGAUGAAGUUACCUGGUUAUGGAUUGCCGAAGGCUUCAUCGAGGAGCAGCAAGGUCAACUAAUAGAAGACACAGCAGAAGAGUACUACUAUGAGCUAAUUCAUCGGAAUCUCCUCCAGCCAGAAAUGAUAAGUUUUGACCAGGCUAAAUGCAGAAUGCAUGACCUCUUAAGACAACUUGCUUGUAAUAUAUCAAGAGAAGAAUGUUUUAUUGGAGAUGUUGAAACAUUAAGGGGAGGAAAUAUGUCAAAACUUAGACGUGUUACUGUUGUCGCGACUAAGAAGGAUAUGUUAGUGUUACCUAGCAAGGAUAAGGUGGAUGUUAAGGUGAGGACUUUCCUAACUGUUAAGGGUCCAUGGAGAAUUGAGGAUACAUUGUUCAAGAGAUUUCUUCUUCUUCUUCGUGUUUUGGUACUGAAUUACUCACUUGUACAAAGCAUCCCAGGCUAUAUAGGAAAAUUGAUACAUCUACGUCUACUUAAUCUGGAUUAUACUGGCAUAUCUUGUCUUCCGGAAUCCAUUGGCUCCCUAAAGAACCUUCAAGUACUGAGCUUGAGAUGGUGUUAUUAUCUGCACAGUCUUCCUCUGGCAAUGACCCUGUUGUGCAGUUUAAGAUGCCUUGAUCUUUUUGGCAUAGAAAUAAAUCAGGUUCCAAAAGGCAUGGGGAAACUGAAGCUCCUCACUUAUUUAAGAGAUUAUCCUGUUGGUGAUGGAAGUGAUAAUGCUGUUAUACAAGAUGGAUGGAAGUUGGAAGAGUUGUCUUCUUUGUACCGAAAUAGGCUUACGCCCCGCUAUAUUGAUAUAGCAACCACUCACAGAUGAGGUAUCUUUCUCUUGUUAAAUUGGAAAGAGCAGCUUACUGCAGUACAAAUACAAUGCUUAGGGACAAAAACCAUCUAAAAACUCUAAUACUAGAGUGGACUGAACGUGGAGAGGGGUCAUAUUCAGAAGAAGAUGUUAGUAAUACCGAGAAGGUCAUUGAGCAGCUAAUACCUCCGCACAACCUGGAAUUCCUAUGUAUUUUUCAAUUCUUUGGUCAGCGGUAUCCCACCUGGUUUGGUACCACCUAUUUGUCUUCAUUAAUACACCUGAUACUCAGAAAUGUACGAUCAUGUGUGGAACUUCCACCGACCUGGCAGCUACCCAACUUGAAAUUUCUGAAAAUUGAGGGAGCACAUGCAGUUACCAAGGUUGGACCUGAAUUUGCUGGCUGCAAGAAGGGUGAUCCUGUAUGUGAUGAGUGGGUUGCUUUCCCAAAACUUGAAUGGUUGAUCUUCGAAGAUAUGCCCAACUGGGAGGAGUGGUCUUUUUUUGAGGAAGAAGUUGGUGUUGCUGGUGUAAGGGGAGAGGAUGGAGCUGCUGAGAUCCGAAAAGAGGAUGCCCAACCUGCAAGGGUGCGACUGCUGCCUCGUCUGUUGGAAUUGCAACUUCACGGUUGCCCGAAGCUGAGGGAUCUCCCGCAACAGCUUGGAAAGGGCACCGCUUGUUUGAAGGAGCUCAGCUUAAGAGGACUAAACAACUUGAAGGCCGUGGAGAACCGCCCUGUGCUCUCUGAGGUCCUUGUUAUUGGGUUUUGUGAAGGCCUGAAGAGGAUCUGCAACCUCCCUCAAGUGACAGAGCUGCAUGUAGGUGGUUGUCCAAACUUAAGCCAUGUAGUGGGGCUGGACAGUUUGCAGCAGCUGAGGCUUGGCGGGAAUAUGCAAGAGAUCUCUUCACGCUGGGUGCCUGGGCUUCAAGAGCAGCACCAGCGACUUCAUGGCGAAGACCUGGAUGUCUACACUUCGCCUAGUAGUUAGAUGGCUCAAGGUAUAUCUGAAAACUGCCUGCUGGUUUGAUAUUUAGCAUUGCAUCUUUGAUUCUCCAGCAACCAUAAUUCGCUUAUGCAACAGAAUUCUUUUUUGAUUUCCAUUGGCAGCAGACUGCAAGCGUAUGAGUUAUUGAUGUUGCUCUAAGUUGCUUGUGUGUGUUCCUUCUUUAACUAACAUGUACUGUAAACCCCUGCUAUUGCUUACGUUCUCGUAAUUUUCCUCUUAGAGUUGAUAAUAUGGGCAAACGGUGAAAGGUGGCGACAAGUUUGUUCAAGGAGCUAUCAGUGGGAGGAGAAGCGUGAAGGACAAGGGGCAAAGUUCUGUUCUCUGUGAUGGAGCUGAAGAAGAAGAAGAAGAAGAAGAAGGAAACUGCAGAAACUACUUAAUAGCCACACCAUCUGCCAAAAAACUUAAAAGUGCAAUGCAGUGCUCUUCAGUGGUACUACUAUCGUUUUCUUUUCUGAACUUAAUUUAUUGUGUGAUGGAGAUUGAUGAUACUCUCGUACGUUUUAUCUGUGUUUUUUUAAGCUAAGUGUAUGAUCUGUUUUUCGCUACUGAUAGGCGCAGUGGCUGUUUAGUUUAGUUGGGAGGAAUUGGACAUAUUUGGUUAAUUGGAACGUUGCCUGUAAUCAAACUGAAGCGAGGCGCGUCUCGUGUGUAUAGUAUUUGUUUACUCCCACGCUGGAUUGGAUGUGAUCAAAACUUAAAUCUUAUGUGCGAGACUAAUAAGGUUGCAGCACUCAUGGACGGACUGCAAUCAAUUAAUCAAGACAGGUUUUAUUUUCAGGGGACACAGUUCAGUUCGCAACUGUCUGAGCACACUGAGCAAAACCCGCCAUCGCUCCAAGCUGAUCGAUGGUGUGCAUGUGUGUGGUUUCAUUCUUUAAACUUAAGCAGUGAAUUUAUUUCUUUGCUGCACACUGUACCUAUCGUGCGUGACUGUCAUGCUCUGAACUAGUUGAGGUCAGAGAUGCUCAAGAUUCAGAGAUCACGCAAGGAAAGCAAUGCACUGAGAGGGAUUCUAUUGGAGAAAGUACUUGAUUACAGAAGGGGGUUUAUGCCGGCCAGAACAUGGCGGCGGCCUUCUAGGGUUCAACCCCAAAUAUAUAAGAGAUAAGAUAGACAUGCCUUCUAGCUUACACAGGUUAUAUAGCCCAUCACACAAACAAGCAAGGGAAGGAGGUAACGGCGGGUGACUAUGAUCCCUUGGAUCCGAGAUGGAUGGUUUCGAGUCAUCCGCCGCAGCGAAAGGGUAAGCGAGCUGCGGAUGUACGGUAAGUGUUGAAUUCUUCAGUAAUGUUCAGAUUUUCAGGGAGUUACCAAGUGUUGGGUCCUGACAGUGACACGGUUUCGCUCUUUGGAUGUAACCGAUGAUUUUCUUCUUUGAAUGGAAUUGACAUCUGGGGGUUUGCCGCAUCGAACGUGUAUAACCUGUAUGUAUCGUCAAAUCUGUGUGUGUGAUCUGGUGAAGGAAAACGUAGACGUCUGAUGGAGGACGAAGGUGAUGCCGACCUGACACAGCUACAGAAUAAACACGUCAGGAACCUGUGCAGAGCGGCGAAGGUUGCUGUUGCUAAGCUCCAGGAGCAAAACCCUGCGCCGGAGCUCUGGAACUUGAGCAAACAGCAAAGGGAGGCCGGCGACGACAACGGAGGUGCCCAAGUACGUUCUGAAGCAGCUAUCUAGUCUAGGGGAGAAGCAUGAGCUCUCUGAAAGACACAAGCUCUGUUCUCUGCAAAUGCAAUGAUGCUCUUCGCUACUAUCUUUUCUGAACACAAUUAAGGCCGUGUUCGGAAUCCAUCCCAUCCGCUCCGACUCCGCGGAGUUGUAGAGCUCAGUUUAGGCCGCUCCGUAAAAAUGAGCUAGAGGCUCGUCCGCUCCGGAGCAGAGUGGAGGGAGCGGAGAGGAGCCGAACGCGGCCUAAGUGUCUACUGUGAUGCAGAUGGAUGCAUCUUAUCCGCAUCUUAGUUAAAUAUAAAUGCAGGAUAGCCGUUUAGUUGGAGGGAAAUGAAUAUAUUGGAUUUAUUACACUUUAUAUUUGCAUGGAAGAUUAUUUAGACAGUUUGCCUGCAAUGUAUUGGUGUAUAGUGUACUACAGUUAAAUGCAAACUGCUGCAUAUGUCCUCGCAGCUGGCUCCUGUAUAACACAAGACAUCAUGCCUCUGUUUUUAAUUGUUGUCUUCAAAAACACUUGCACUUAAUUUGUUCUGGGAUCAAUACUUUGGUUUCAAAAAAAAAAACUGUUGCCUAUUUGUUGCAUGAGCUAACUGGAUUCAUGUUUUCUGACAAACAAUAAGUAUAAAUAAAAACAUGAGCUUAGAAUUUAACGGCGGCCUUCGUAAGUGUCAAUAAAUUAUCACCGAGAUAUAGAGCAGGUCACGCGUAUUAAUUCGUGAAUAUGAUUUAUAUUGAUCCAAACUUAAUCUAUUCAUUAUUGGCACCGGCGAUUGCUACCGGUAGCUCGCCAAUAUCUUUCAGAAGACUAUUCCUGCUCUCUGCCUUUAAAGACUAUGUUGUCGUGACCACAAACGCAAGCAGAGGAGGGCCAAGAUACUGACUACUACCUCCGUCUCAAAAUAUAAGACGUUUUCGUAGGCCACUACUAUCUCCAUCUCAAAAUAUAAGACGUUUUCGUAGGCCUAAGAAAACGUCUUAUAUUUUGAGACGGAGGUAGUAGUAUUUAUUAUAUACUGGUGUGCAUGGUAGCUAGCCAAUAUCCUUUGCUCUUGCUUGGCUCUAGUAUAAUUAGAUUAGUUAGACUGUUGUCUGCAAUCAAAACUGUAGCGAGGCCUUUCUACACAAACUGCUGUAUGUGUCCUCUCAGCCGGCUCCGGUAUAACACAAAACAAUAUCCCUCUGUUUCUAAUUUUUGUAUUUAAAUGCAUUAAAUUGUUUUGGGAUUAAUACUUGCAUUUCAACAAAAAAAUGCCUCCCUAAAAAAAUUGUUCUUAUUUAUGGAAUGACCUAACCUGAUUCAUGUGUGCUGACAAAAAAGAAAUUGAAAAGAUGAACUCAGAAUUUAACAGUGGCCUCCAUAAGUCUCAAAGAAUUAUCGUCGAAAUACAGUACAGGCCACACGAAUUAAUUCAUGAAUAUAAUUUAUAUUGACCCACACUUAAUCAAUUCAACGGCACCGACGAAUGCUACUAGUCGAUAAAAUAUCAAUGACAAUAAGCAGCCAGUGGGCAGCUCACCAAUCUCUUUCAGAAGACUAUUCCAGCUGCCGCAUUUAAAGACCGUGUUGUGUGGCCACAAGCGCAAGCAGAGGAGGGCCAAAAUACUGACUUGUAUUUAUCAUCUACUGGCUCUAGUAUGCUUCUGCUAUGCAUCACAAAAUCUCAGAAAUCUGAAGAUUUCGUUCAUUCCCUUCUUCUGCAACUGCAAGCAGAUGAGUUUUAUCUUGAUCACUGUUGAUUGAAGUAAUCCUGUAUUCAGGUAUAUAUAUUCAGUUUUUUUUUGACAAUCAGAACUUUUCCAUUCAGUUUAGCUAUCUGUUUUGUUCAAUAGUUGGUCGAUCAUCUUGUAUCAUCUAUUGCAGGUGUAGCACCAUGGUUUUCUCCUGGUGAUUGGUCGAUAAUCUUCCUUUAUCUAUUUCGUUUAUAGCUUGCACUCAGCCUUGCGAGAUCUUGAAACUAUCGAUAGGCUGGAAGACUGGUUCUAAGGUAAGACUUGCUGCCGUACCUCAGAGAGCUUCGGACCUUAGUUUCAUAACUACAGUGGAAUGAAUUGUGAUGAUUUAUAGGCUAGCAUGUCGGAAAACAAUUAGAGUUAAGAUGGAUUUGACAACCACAAAUAAUUAGCUGGUUGAUCAAUCUGUAUCUAACUGUAUGUUGUAACUAAAUGCAACAUUUUCAGUAGUAGUUCGGUGUGGAGUCUACUAUGCAGAUUGGCAACCGGAAAGAAAAUUAAAGAACAGAAUGCCAGAUGAUUAAGAAUUUAGACCUUAAUACUUGGCGCUAGCGCUCAAGCUGUAUUUGGAUAGUUAUAUUAUGCUAAAUUAUUGAAAAUGUAAAUGGCAGCCCACUAGUGAUAAAUUCCGUGAGCCUUGUCCUACUUUCAAAGCAUGUUAUCAUACCUUGUGCAUCCAUUUUCAGCUUUCGGUUUCUGAUAGUCUCAAGGAAUAUCCUAGUGUUUUUUGUGGACCUCUGGCGCUGAGUUUGUCUAAUACAUGGCUGCCAUACUUGAAACUUUGCUUAAAUCAAGUGUCAAUAAGUUGCAAGAUGUAAUUACAGAUGAGGCCAUACUAAUCCUAGGGGUGGAAGAAGAGCUCACAAAACUGCUGCGGCGAGUGGAACUAAUUGAGUGUUGUAUAUACGAUGCUGAGAAAAGAAGAACAAAAGAGCAAGCAGUAAACAACUGGCUUGGUCAACUGAGAGAUGUUAUAUAUGAUGUUGAUGAAAUCCUGGAUGUGGCUAGAUGUAAAGGAAGCAAGCUACUGCCUGACGAUCCUUCAUCAUCAUCAAGCAAAUCGGUUGCAUGUAAAGGCCUCUCGGUUUCCUCUUGCUUUUGUAGCAUCAGGUCACGUCGUGAUGUUGCUGUUCGGAUUAGAAGCCUGAAUAAAAAGAUUGAGAACAUUGCAAAUGACAAGAUAUUUUCAACUUUCAAUAAUAGUACACAGCCUAUUGGAAAUGGUCAACCAUCAAAACUUAUAAGAAGUUCCAACCUUGUUGAGCCCAACCUUGUGGGGAAGGAGAUUGUACAUUCUACCAGGAAGUUAGUAGACUUAGUUCUUGCACACAAGGAAUACAAGUCUUACAAGCUCGGUAUUGUUGGAACCGGAGGAGUUGGUAAGACAACACUAGCUCAAAAAAUAUACAAUGAUCAGAAAGUAAAAGGAAGCUUCAAGAUGCACGCAUGGAUUUGUGUUUCACAAGACUACAAUCAAAUAACUCUUCUUAAAGAGGUUCUCCGGAAUAUUGGUGUGCAUCAUGAGCAAGGUGAAACCAUAACAGAGCUGCAGAGGAAGCUUGCAGAAACAAUUGAAGGGAAGAGUUUCUUUCUGGUUCUAGAUGAUGUGUGGCACUCCAAUGUAUGGACGGAUUUUUUAAGACCUGCAUUACAUGAAACAACUGCCGGAGUAAUAUUGGUAACCACACGAGA